AACAAGGCGUACCUGCGGACCUGCGGAAGGAUCAUCACAGUGUGUGGUGUCUCUACACCAAUCUUGUGUGAACUGUUGUGUGUGUGUUGGUGUGUGAUGUGCUGUGGCACUCCCACCACCACAAAUAUCACCUUCAAUCUUUGUCUAACAUGUACCCACAAUCUAAACAACUUUUAACAACGGAUCU
This 187-nucleotide unclassified non-coding RNA is filed under the name soil metagenome. RNAcentral's name for it is "partial contains 5.8S ribosomal RNA, internal transcribed spacer 2, and large subunit ribosomal RNA". The record is from RNAcentral.